This is a long non-coding RNA of Peromyscus maniculatus bairdii (prairie deer mouse), 1049 nucleotides long. RefSeq lists it as uncharacterized. The record is from RefSeq and is a predicted model, not a curated record. Lineage: Eukaryota; Metazoa; Chordata; Mammalia; Rodentia; Cricetidae.
AGUAACCUUACCUACACAGUAAAUAACAGUAAGAUUGUCUGCAAAUUACCUAUGUCUUCCUUGCUAGUACUUGAAAUGUGUUUUGAUUUUGAGUUAACCAGCCAUUGGUGCCAAUGGUACACAUGACAUGAUGCACUUUGGUUUCCAAGCAGAUCCACUGUAUUCCACUGAAGGCAAGAUGACACUGACUGAUCGCAAUCCAAGCCCUGAUUGUAGAAUGAUGAAACGUGGAAACAGUGAGCAUCUUACACACACUGAAAUGCAGUACAAGUGCUGGUGAAAACCCUCCUUUCCUGUUGGGAGUGGGUGGAACGCUUCCGGAGUACUGUUCUAACUGUCCUCGGGGUUACCUUGGGGUUAGCUCUCCUGCUCCUGAACAGACCAGCCAGCCUUCUGGUACUCUGGAUACACCUCACUGGCAGGGCUAUCCCUUCCGUUCCUGAAACUUCAUACUUUUGGUACACGCUCAUGGAGUGAUGCCAGUCUCAAAUGAAAACAUCACUCUUACAACAUUCGUUUCCUCAUAACUGCUCAAAGGCAGCCAUACUAUUGACUACUUUUUCUAGAAGAUUCUGCAUGGAUGAUGGGGUCAUCUCUGUUUCCAGACUCUAUUCCUCCCGCUGGAAGCCUGGCAUGAUUGGAAAGCUGGAAAAACCACAACUGAACAGCCUGGCACUUGCUUUAACAGUCGUUCCAACCACAGAUUAAUACUGUUACUGGAUUUGACUAACGGCUCUCAGUCAGCCCAACUGUCAGCACUUGAGAACAUUCAAGCCAGCUCAAGACCAAGAGGAAACAUAUUCCCUCACUUCCUCUGGAAGCCUGACUUUCCCUCCGCCCCUUAGGUGGGAGAGCCAACCGGUGCAAGACACCAACAACCGGACACCAUCAUGUACGAUUAGAGAAGGGGAAGGCCAGAGUGGAGAAAGACUCAGUCAGGUACCCAGAGGACCCUUGGCCCAAGUACCAGACAAGGAACACAACAGUGAGUCGCCUGAUGCAGUGCCCAGAUCGUCUCCACCACCCAUCAUGUUAGUGCCAUCUUUUGC